This 71-nucleotide transfer RNA is filed under the name Candidatus Woesearchaeota archaeon. Its description in RNAcentral is "tRNA-Gly". It matches the Rfam family "tRNA". From Rfam's summary of the family: Transfer RNA (tRNA) molecules are approximately 80 nucleotides in length. Their secondary structure includes four short double-helical elements and three loops (D, anti-codon, and T loops). Further hydrogen bonds mediate the characteristic L-shaped molecular structure. tRNAs have two regions of fundamental functional importance: the anti-codon, which is responsible for specific mRNA codon recognition, and the 3' end, to which the tRNAs corresponding amino acid is attached (by aminoacyl-tRNA synthetases). tRNAs cope with the degeneracy of the genetic code in two manners: having more than one tRNA (with a specific anti-codon) for a particular amino acid; and 'wobble' base-pairing, i.e. permitting non-standard base-pairing at the 3rd anti-codon position. Lineage: Archaea; Nanobdellati; Candidatus Woesearchaeota. The record is from RNAcentral.
GCGCUCGUGGUAUAUCGGUAGUAUGCAAGCUUCCCAAGCUUGAGAGCCGGGUUCAAUUCCCGGCGGGCGCA